GGGGGGGGCAAGCGUUGUUCGGAAUUACUGGGCGUAAAGGGCGCGUAGGCGGUUGGAUAAGUCAGCUGUGAAAACCACGGGCUUAACUCGUGGCCUGCAGUUGAGACUGUCUGGCUUGAGUGUGGGAGAGGAGAGUGGAAUUCCUGGUGUAGCGGUGAAAUGCGUAGAUAUCAGGAGGAACACCGGUGGCGAAGGCGGCUCUCUGGACCACAACUGACGCUGAGGCGCGAAAGCUAGGGGAGCAAACAGGAUUAGAUACCCUGGUAGUCCUAGCUGUAAACGAUGGAUACUUGCUGUGGGGGGUGUUAAAUCCCCCUGUGGCGGAGCUAACGCAUUAAGUAUCCCGCCUGGGGAGUACGGUCGCAAGGCUGAA
Molecule: ribosomal RNA, 373 nt
Filed under: uncultured bacterium
Lineage: Bacteria
Description: bacterial SSU rRNA
Rfam family: Bacterial small subunit ribosomal RNA
Source: RNAcentral